AGUGAACGCUGGCGGCGUGCUUAACACAUGCAAGUCGAACGAGAACGGAAUAUAGCUUGCUAUAUUUGUCAGCUAAGUGGCGCACGGGUGAGUAAUGUAUAGAUAACCUGCCCUUAAGAAAGGAAUAACAGUUGGAAACGACUGCUAAUGCCCUAUAUGCCUUUAAUACAUAAGUAUGCAAGGGAAACGCUUUAGUGCUUAAGGAUGGGUCUGUAUGGUAUCAGCUUGUUGGUGAGGUGAUGGCUCACCAAGGCUAUGACGCCUAACUGGUUUGAGAGUAUGAUCAGUCACACUGGAACUGAGACUCGGUCCAGUCUCAUACGGGAGGCAGCAGUGGUGAAUAUUGCACAAUGGACGAAAGUCUGAUGCAGCCACGCCGCGUGGAGGAUGACACAUUUCGGUGCGUCAACUCCUUUUAUCUAGGAAGAUAAUGACGGUACUAUAUGAAUAAGCACCGGCUAACUCCGUGCCAGCCGCCGCCGUAA
RNAcentral lists this ribosomal RNA (485 nucleotides) under uncultured bacterium. RNAcentral's name for it is "partial 16S ribosomal RNA". It matches the Rfam family "Bacterial small subunit ribosomal RNA", at positions 29 to 523 of the family's 1533-position model. The record is from RNAcentral.